UAGUUCGAUCAUGGCUCAGGAUGAACGCUGGCGGCAUGCCUAAUACAUGCAAGUCGAACGGAGUGAGGCCUUCGGGUUUCAUUCAGUGGCGAACGGGUGAGUAAUACGCAGGGAACCUGGCCAUGGCAGGGGGAUACACUCUGGAAACGGAGCAUAAGACCCCAUAGGCAGUAAGGCGGCAUCGCCUUACUGUUAAAGAAAGCUGAAAGGCUUUGGCGAUGGAUGGACCUGCGGUGCAUUAGCUUGUUGGUGAGGCAACGGCUUACCAAGGCGAUGAUGCAUAGCCGGCCUGAGAGGGCGGACGGCCACACUGGGACUGAGACACGGCCCAGACUCCUGCGGGAGGCAGCAGUAGGGAAUUUUCGUCAAUGGGCGCAAGCCUGAACGAGCAAUGCCGCGUGAGUGAGGAAGGUCUUCGGACUGUAAAGCUCUGUUGCCGGGGAAAAAGGGGAAAUGCAGGGAAUGGCAUUUCAUGGAUGGUACCCGACCAGAAAGCCACGGCUAACUACGUGCCAGCAGCCGCGGUAAUACGUAGGUGGCGAGCGUUAUCCGGAAUGAUUGGGCGUAAAGGGUGCGCAGGCGGUCUGUUAAGUCUGAAGGCAAAGGGAUGAGCUCAACUCAUUUAUGAUUCAGAAACUGGCAGACUUGAGGACAGGAGAGGGCGGUGGAACUCCAUGUGUAGCGGUAAAAUGCGCAGAGAUAUGGAAGAACACCAGUGGCGAAGGCGGCCGCCUGGCCUGUGACUGACGCUGAGGCACGAAAGCGUGGGGAGCAAAUAGGAUUAGAUACCCUAGUAGUCCACGCCGUAAACGAUGAGGAGCAGGUGUUGGGAGUGAAAUCUCAGUGCCGAAGCCAACGCAGUGACUCCUCCGCCUGGGGAGUAUGCACGCAAGUGUGAAACUCAAAGGAAUUGACGGGGGCCCGCACAAGCGGUGGAGUAUGUGGUUUAAUUCGAAGCAACGCGAAGAACCUUACCAGGUUUUGACAUCGGAUGCGAAGGCGCAGAGAUGCGCUGGAGGCUAUCAUCCAGACAGGUGGUGCAUGGUUGUCGUCAGCUCGUGUCGUGAGAUGUUCAGUUAAGUCUGGCAACGAGCGCAACCCCCGUGGUAUGUUACUAACGCAUUUGGGCGAGGACUCAUAUCAGACUGCCGGUGACAAACCGGAGGAAGGCGGGGAUGACGUCAAAUCAUCAUGCCCCUUAUGACCUGGGCUACACACGUACUACAAUGGCGUCUACAGAGGGAAGCGACCCUGAGAAGGGAAGCGAAACCGGAAAAGGGCGUCCCAGUUCGGAUUGAAGUCUGCAACCCGACUUCAUGAAGAUGGAAUCGCUAGUAAUCGCGGAUCAGCAUGCCGCGGUGAAUACGUUCCCGGGCCUUGUACACACCGCCCGUCAAACCAUGGAAGCCGGCAACGCCCGAAGCCGGUGGCAUAACCUUUUAGGAGUGAGCCGUCGAAGGCGGGGCCGAUGACUGGGGUUAAGUCGUAACAAGGUAGCC
RNAcentral lists this ribosomal RNA (1499 nucleotides) under uncultured bacterium. RNAcentral's name for it is "bacterial SSU rRNA". It matches the Rfam family "Bacterial small subunit ribosomal RNA". The record is from RNAcentral.